AGAUAAUUGGGUUAUUCGUGAAUGUCAUGAUGCCCUCUUCCCUCCCAAUCAGAGAGCCUAUGUUAUAUGUAGGUUACUGAAGAAAAC
Long non-coding RNA from Neltuma alba, 87 nucleotides. RefSeq lists it as uncharacterized. Lineage: Eukaryota; Viridiplantae; Streptophyta; Magnoliopsida; Fabales; Fabaceae. The record is from RefSeq and is a predicted model, not a curated record. The transcript is spliced from 2 exons.